Molecule: small nuclear RNA, 128 nt
Filed under: Microcebus murinus (gray mouse lemur)
Lineage: Eukaryota; Metazoa; Chordata; Mammalia; Primates; Cheirogaleidae
Description: U11 spliceosomal RNA (ENSMICG00000043489.1)
Rfam family: U11 spliceosomal RNA
Source: Rfam by way of RNAcentral
AAAAGGGGCUUCUGUCAUGAGUGGCACACAUAGGGCAACUCAACUGCUCUUCGUGCGGAAUUGACAUCAAGAUAUUUUGGAAAUAUAAUAAUUGCACGUUAAUUACAGCUGUGUUGAGCUAUAUUAAC